Vigna angularis (adzuki bean) is the source of this 311-nucleotide long non-coding RNA. RefSeq lists it as uncharacterized. The record is from RefSeq and is a predicted model, not a curated record. The transcript is spliced from 3 exons. NCBI's taxonomy places the organism in Eukaryota, Viridiplantae, Streptophyta, Magnoliopsida, Fabales, Fabaceae.
ACAACCUAUUAAUCUCAUCACGUAUAAAUGCUCUUUAUAAAAAAGGAAACCUAAAAUAAAUUUACAAGAUUGUUGAUUCUUUGUUAAAGGAGUCCAAAUUUAACCAUAUUUAUUUGUAUAUCGUGUAGAAAUUCAUGAGAUUGCUUAUGUUGUUGAUGCAUAUGUCUCUUAUGGGAGAUCCGAUGCUUUGAAUGGAAAAGUCAUCAUUGCAUCAUCUGGAAGACUAUAGAUGCAAUUGCACGUGCACAUCAUAUUCUUACUGCAAUGUGUGAAAAGCUCUUCACUUUUGAGGGUGAAAUUGGUGGUGGCAG